RNAcentral lists this long non-coding RNA (265 nucleotides) under Ananas comosus (pineapple). Its description in RNAcentral is "long non-coding RNA (ACOM_LNC028120)". The record is from RNAcentral. Lineage: Eukaryota; Viridiplantae; Streptophyta; Magnoliopsida; Poales; Bromeliaceae.
UUCUUCGGACCCUUCAAUAUUUCUUCGAAAACGUCAAAUCAAAUCCGAUGGCCGAACAGAUCCGUGCCACCGUGAACAACUUCGCCGAUGACAUCUACAGCAUCGCCGGUUCGAUACUUUCGAAAGAAGAAGGGAGGGGAAUCUUUGAUUCCCCGUUUUUUCGGACCUUUCAAUAUUUCUUCGAAAAUGUCAAAUCAAAUCCAACGGCCAAACAGAUCCGUGCCACGGUCAACAACUUCGCCGACGACAUCUACAGCAUCGCCGG